This 392-nucleotide ribosomal RNA is filed under the name uncultured eukaryote. RNAcentral's name for it is "bacterial SSU rRNA". It matches the Rfam family "Eukaryotic small subunit ribosomal RNA", at positions 592 to 990 of the family's 1831-position model. The record is from RNAcentral.
CAAUAGCGUAUAUUAAAGUUGUUGCGGUUAAAAAGCUCGUAGUUGGAUUUCUGCUGAGGACGACCGGUCCGCCCUCCGGGUGAGCAUCUGGUUCGGCCUUGGCAUCUUCUUGGUGAACGUAUCUGCACUUGACUGUGUGGUGCGGUACCCAGGACUUUUACUUUGAGGAAAUUAGAGUGUUUCAAGCAGGCAUACGCCUUGAAUACAUUAGCAUGGAAUAAUAAGAUAGGACCUCGGUGCUAUUUUGUGGUUUGCGCACAGAGGUAAUGAUGAACAGGGACAGUUGGGGGUAUUUGUAUUUCGUUGUCAGAGGUGAAAUUCUUGGAUUCGCUGAAGACUAACUUAUGCGAAAGCAUUCACCAAGGAUGUCUUCUUUAAUCAAGAACGAAAGU